This is a non-coding RNA of Thamnophis sirtalis, 1599 nucleotides long. The record is from RefSeq and is a predicted model, not a curated record. NCBI's taxonomy places the organism in Eukaryota, Metazoa, Chordata, Lepidosauria, Squamata, Natricidae.
GCUUUACAAAUGUCUCAUUUAACAAUAGAAAUAUUGGGCUCAAUUGUGGUCAUAAGUUGAGGACUAUCUGUACUUGGAGCAGAAUUUCACAGAAACAGAUUGCAAAUGAUCAGGAGCCACAUUUCAGGAAGUGGGAUAAAUAAAUUUGAUAUUUAUUUUGUUAUGUUACUUCCAACGGCCUAAGAGAAAUGAUGUCAUUGUUUAAAUUACAGAAGGACUUGAGGUAUAGCUUCUUCAAAUUUCCUGUCCCAUACUCUGAUAUAAUUUCUGCUAAACAUCUAUGGAGAUUAUCAGUCAUCCAGUUCAUUGUUGUCCCAAAGGUGUUUUUCAGAAGUUAACUGGACUUUCUUUGUUACCAACAAAGUACAGAUGCCUUUUGAACAACAGCUUUGGGACAAUUUCAAAACAGCUCUUGAAAAAGCACCUUGAGUACUGUAAGAAAUUGUUUAUUUAAUCAUAAGAAGCUUUUCCCUAACAUAAUUGAAAUGCAUGCUUUUUCUUUUUCAUUUUCUUAACUUUUUCUUUACUUUCUGCUUUCGACAAUAAAAAUACUACUUAAUCUGUAUCAGACCGGCAUAGGACAGAUUUAAAUCUGCUUAUAGUUAAAUGCUCAUAGUCUUUUUUCCUGUAUUGGGACAUAAUGUGUAGAACAAUCAAUUUGCAUGAUAAAACAUAAUCUGUACUUUUUCAAAGAGUUUGUAUUUUUCCAACGCUUUACAAGAUAUACAUCAGUGACAAAAAUAUAUAUUUUGACAUAAUAGUUCUAAAUCCCAUUUGUUGAUUAUAUAUGGCCAGCACACCUGUUUGUCCCGUAUUUUUUUUUUUUAAGGUGGGGGGUAAACCUAAACAGUUUCUGUUUUCUAUGCAGAAAACAUCAGUUCCUUGAGAGCAGCUUAUUUGAACAGUCACAAAGUCUUUUUCUAGUAUAGCUACUUAAAUCCCAGUGCUACUGUUUUAGAAAAUAUAAUUACUAAAUUGACAAAUUGUCUUCUCCAUAAUAAUUGUCAAAUAGUUUGACUCCAUUAACAAAAAGUUGCCUGUUGUGAACCCAGUUUGUCACUUCUGUCUCAAAAUCCUACUUUGACAACAAAGCAAAAAUAACUUGUUUUUUAAAUAUUCAAAAUAUAGUGCAAAAUAAAUCCUCAAGAAAACUAUAUAAAAUGUAGGAUAUCAGCUAUGAAAAGGUCUUAAUUUUCUUCUUGGAUUGAUUUCUCUCUGCGUUGUGAGUUUUGCUUACAAGCUUUCAUGGAUUAUUUUAGACACUUCUCUGGCAAUCUCUGUAAAUAUUUGGAAGAAAUUAAAACUGAGAUGCAAUGGAAAAUAUGCUUUAAAAAAUAACUUACCUCACAUGGGCUUUAAUCCUAACCCUAACAUUUAAAGAAAAAAAUAAAUUGGGAAAUGGUAUCCUCUUCUUUCAUGACUUUUUAGCAAAACAGGAUUAGCAUCUUUUAGUAAGUGACAUGAUAAUUUUGCCUUCAUGUCAUUUGUGUCAUUGCUCCUAACUGGUAUGGUAUAAAAGUAAAUAAAACAAGUUUAAUUUUACCUGAAGUCUGAUUGGAUAUUUUUGACAUUCUCAAUAAAAUAUUUUUCAGGAAAUUA